Molecule: long non-coding RNA, 361 nt
Organism: Suricata suricatta (meerkat)
Lineage: Eukaryota; Metazoa; Chordata; Mammalia; Carnivora; Herpestidae
Exons: 3
Source: RefSeq, a predicted model, not a curated record
CCCCCCACGCAGCCGUGAACUUGGUUUCGCAGCCCUAGCCGCGGCCCGUGUCUGGGAGUAAUACGGCUAAGAAGUAGAGAUUUUCUGCUAAAGGACUAUCAACUGAUAGAUUUGUUAAGAGCCAUAAGGUUCACUCUGCUUGAUCAACUGAUGCCAGAAAUUCUGCUUCCAUCAUGAGGAUAAGUUCAUGCAAGCCUUUUGAAGUAUGAGAAACUUCUGGAACAAGCAAAGUCAUUCCUAGUCAAGAUCAUUUUACAUAUGUGAUUGACUCUUACAGAGACCAGGAAAACCAUCAAGUCAGUCUGGGCCAACACCUGUGCAUUUAUAAAGAUAAUAAAUUGUUGUUGUUUUAAUUUCCAAA